UACGUAGGGGGCAAGCGUUGUCCGGAAUCAUUGGGCGUAAAGCGCGUGUAGGCGGCCAGAUAAGUCUGCUGUGAAAUCUCGAGGCUCAACUUCGAGCUGUCGGUGGAAACUGUCUGGCUAGAGUCCGGAAGAGGAGAAUGGAAUUCCUGGUGUAGCGGUGAAAUGCGCAGAUAUCAGGAAGAACACCCGUGGCGAAGGCGGUUCUCUGGGACGGUACUGACGCUGAGACGCGAAAGCGUGGGGAGCGAACAGG
RNAcentral lists this ribosomal RNA (253 nucleotides) under uncultured bacterium. Its description in RNAcentral is "partial 16S ribosomal RNA". It matches the Rfam family "Bacterial small subunit ribosomal RNA", at positions 524 to 776 of the family's 1533-position model. The record is from RNAcentral.